UGGGGAAUUUUGCACAAUGGGUGAAACCCUGAUGCAGCGACGCCGCGUGAUUUAGAAGGCCUUCGGGUUGUAAAAAUCUUUUCUAUGGGAAGAAAAUGACAGUACCAUAGGAAUAAGGACCGGCUAAUUACGUGCCAGCAGCCGCGGUAAUACGUAAGGUCCGAGCGUUGUCCGUAAUCAUUGGGCGUAAAGGGUACGUAGGCGGGUAAGCAAGUUAGAAGUGAAAUCCUAUAGCUCAACUAUAGUAAGCUUUUAAAACUGCUCAUCUUGAGGUAUGGAAGGGAAAGUGGAAUUACUAGUGUAGCGGUGAAAUGAGCAGAUAUUAGGAGGAAUACAGGUGGCGAAGGAGACUUUCUGGCCAUAACCUGACGCUGAGGUACGAAAGCGUGGGUAGCGAACAGG
RNAcentral lists this ribosomal RNA (402 nucleotides) under bacterium. Its description in RNAcentral is "partial 16S ribosomal RNA". It matches the Rfam family "Bacterial small subunit ribosomal RNA", at positions 355 to 776 of the family's 1533-position model. The record is from RNAcentral.